GACGAACGCUGGCGGCGUGCCUAAUACAUGCAAGUAGAACGCUGAAGAGAGGAGCUUGCUCUUCUUGGAUGAGUUGCGAACGGGUGAGUAACGCGUAGGUAACCUGCCUUGUAGCGGGGGAUAACUAUUGGAAACGAUAGCUAAUACCGCAUAACAAUAGGUGACACAUGUCAUUUAUUUGAAAGGGGCAAUUGCUCCACUACAAGAUGGACCUGCGUUGUAUUAGCUAGUAGGUGAGGUAACGGCUCACCUAGGCGACGAUACAUAGCCGACCUGAGAGGGUGAUCGGCCACACUGGGACUGAGACACGGCCCAGACUCCUACGGGAGGCAGCAGUAGGGAAUCUUCGGCAAUGGGGGCAACCCUGAACGAGCAACGCCGCGUGAGUGAAGAAGGUUUUCGGAUCGUAAAGCUCUGUUGUAAGUCAAGAACGAGUGUGAGAGUGGAAAGUUCACACUGUGACGGUAGCUUACCAGAAAGGGACGGCUAACUACGUG
This 497-nucleotide ribosomal RNA is filed under the name uncultured bacterium. RNAcentral's name for it is "partial 16S ribosomal RNA". It matches the Rfam family "Bacterial small subunit ribosomal RNA", at positions 28 to 507 of the family's 1533-position model. The record is from RNAcentral.